GGUUAAGCGACUAAGCGUACACGGUGGAUGCCCUGGCAGUCAGAGGCGAUGAAGGACGUGCUAAUCUGCGAUAAGCGUCGGUAAGGUGAUAUGAACCGUUAUAACCGGCGAUUUCCGAAUGGGGAAACCCAGUGUGUUUCGACACACUAUCAUUAACUGAAUCCAUAGGUUAAUGAGGCGAACCGGGGGAACUGAAACAUCUAAGUACCCCGAGGAAAAGAAAUCAACCGAGAUUCCCCCAGUAGCGGCGAGCGAACGGGGAGCAGCCCAGAGCCUGAAUCAGUGUGUGUGUUAGUGGAAGCGUCUGGAAAGGCGCGCGAUACAGGGUGACAGCCCCGUACACAAAAAUGCACAUACUGUGAGCUCGAUGAGUAGGGCGGGACACGUGGUAUCCUGUCUGAAUAUGGGGGGACCAUCCUCCAAGGCUAAAUACUCCUGACUGACCGAUAGUGAACCAGUACCGUGAGGGAAAGGCGAAAAGAACCCCGGCGAGGGGAGUGAAAAAGAACCUGAAACCGUGUACGUACAAGCAGUGGGAGCCUCUUAAUGGGGUGACUGCGUACCUUUUGUAUAAUGGGUCAGCGACUUAUAUUCUGUAGCAAGGUUAACCGAAUAGGGGAGCCGAAGGGAAACCGAGUCUUAACUGGGCGUUAAGUUGCAGGGUAUAGACCCGAAACCCGGUGAUCUAGCCAUGGGCAGGUUGAAGGUUGGGUAACACUAACUGGAGGACCGAACCGACUAAUGUUGAAAAAUUAGCGGAUGACUUGUGGCUGGGGGUGAAAGGCCAAUCAAACCGGGAGAUAGCUGGUUCUCCCCGAAAGCUAUUUAGGUAGCGCCUCGUGAAUUCAUCUCCGGGGGUAGAGCACUGUUUCGGCAAGGGGGUCAUCCCGACUUACCAACCCGAUGCAAACUGCGAAUACCGGAGAAUGUUAUCACGGGAGACACACGGCGGGUGCUAACGUCCGUCGUGAAGAGGGAAACAACCCAGACCGCCAGCUAAGGUCCCAAAGUCAUGGUUAAGUGGGAAACGAUGUGGGAAGGCCCAGACAGCCAGGAUGUUGGCUUAGAAGCAGCCAUCAUUUAAAGAAAGCGUAAUAGCUCACUGGUCGAGUCGGCCUGCGCGGAAGAUGUAACGGGGCUAAACCAUGCACCGAAGCUGCGGCAGCGACACUAUGUGUUGUUGGGUAGGGGAGCGUUCUGUAAGCCUGUGAAGGUGUACUGUGAGGUAUGCUGGAGGUAUCAGAAGUGCGAAUGCUGACAUAAGUAACGAUAAAGCGGGUGAAAAGCCCGCUCGCCGGAAGACCAAGGGUUCCUGUCCAACGUUAAUCGGGGCAGGGUGAGUCGACCCCUAAGGCGAGGCCGAAAGGCGUAGUCGAUGGGAAACAGGUUAAUAUUCCUGUACUUGGUGUUACUGCGAAGGGGGGACGGAGAAGGCUAUGUUGGCCGGGCGACGGUUGUCCCGGUUUAAGCGUGUAGGCUGGUUUUCCAGGCAAAUCCGGAAAAUCAAGGCUGAGGCGUGAUGACGAGGCACUACGGUGCUGAAGCAACAAAUGCCCUGCUUCCAGGAAAAGCCUCUAAGCAUCAGGUAACAUCAAAUCGUACCCCAAACCGACACAGGUGGUCAGGUAGAGAAUACCAAGGCGCUUGAGAGAACUCGGGUGAAGGAACUAGGCAAAAUGGUGCCGUAACUUCGGGAGAAGGCACGCUGAUAUGUAGGUGAAGUCCCUCGCGGAUGGAGCUGAAAUCAGUCGAAGAUACCAGCUGGCUGCAACUGUUUAUUAAAAACACAGCACUGUGCAAACACGAAAGUGGACGUAUACGGUGUGACGCCUGCCCGGUGCCGGAAGGUUAAUUGAUGGGGUUAGCGGUAACGCGAAGCUCUUGAUCGAAGCCCCGGUAAACGGCGGCCGUAACUAUAACGGUCCUAAGGUAGCGAAAUUCCUUGUCGGGUAAGUUCCGACCUGCACGAAUGGCGUAAUGAUGGCCAGGCUGUCUCCACCCGAGACUCAGUGAAAUUGAACUCGCUGUGAAGAUGCAGUGUACCCGCGGCAAGACGGAAAGACCCCGUGAACCUUUACUAUAGCUUGACACUGAACAUUGAGCCUUGAUGUGUAGGAUAGGUGGGAGGCUUUGAAGUGUGGACGCCAGUCUGCAUGGAGCCGGCCUUGAAAUACCACCCUUUAAUGUUUGAUGUUCUAACGUUGGCCCCUGAUCGGGGUUGCGGACAGUGUCUGGUGGGUAGUUUGACUGGGGCGGUCUCCUCCUAAAGAGUAACGGAGGAGCACGAAGGUUGGCUAAUCCUGGUCGGACAUCAGGAGGUUAGUGCAAUGGCAUAAGCCAGCUUGACUGCGAGCGUGACGGCGCGAGCAGGUGCGAAAGCAGGUCAUAGUGAUCCGGUGGUUCUGAAUGGAAGGGCCAUCGCUCAACGGAUAAAAGGUACUCCGGGGAUAACAGGCUGAUACCGCCCAAGAGUUCAUAUCGACGGCGGUGUUUGGCACCUCGAUGUCGGCUCAUCACAUCCUGGGGCUGAAGUAGGUCCCAAGGGUAUGGCUGUUCGCCAUUUAAAGUGGUACGCGAGCUGGGUUUAGAACGUCGUGAGACAGUUCGGUCCCUAUCUGCCGUGGGCGCUGGAGAACUGAGGGGGGCUGCUCCUAGUACGAGAGGACCGGAGUGGACGCAUCACUGGUGUUCGGGUUGUCAUGCCAAUGGCACUGCCCGGUAGCUAAAUGCGGAAGAGAUAAGUGCUGAAAGCAUCUAAGCACGAAACUUGCCCCGAGAUGAGUUCUCCCUGACUCUUUAAGGGUCCUGAAGGAACGUUGAAGACGACGACGUUGAUAGGCCGGGUGUGUAAGCGCAGCGAUGCGUUGAGCUAACCGGUACUAAUGAACCGUGAGGCUUAACCUU
Molecule: ribosomal RNA, 2904 nt
Filed under: Escherichia coli
Lineage: Bacteria; Pseudomonadati; Pseudomonadota; Gammaproteobacteria; Enterobacterales; Enterobacteriaceae
Description: 23S ribosomal RNA
Rfam family: Bacterial large subunit ribosomal RNA
Source: RNAcentral